Molecule: long non-coding RNA, 449 nt
Filed under: Carica papaya (papaya)
Lineage: Eukaryota; Viridiplantae; Streptophyta; Magnoliopsida; Brassicales; Caricaceae
Description: long non-coding RNA (CPAP_LNC002142)
Source: RNAcentral
CGGGGAAUGUACCAGGUGCUGCUUCAUUGUGUGUCCCGCCAAACCUAACGCUAUCGCCACAAAUCCGCCGAUCAUGUAGAUUGGCGCCAUAUCCGCCGUCAUCGCCAUCCUGCAUUUUCACUACUUAUCAAUGCUGUUUUUGUUUUUCCAACAGUUGAGAAAAUCGAACCAAACGCAUUAUAAUUAUUAGUUCUUACUUUGAUGACUGAACAGAUGAAGUGGCCGAUGAAGAGGCAAAGGAUCGGUUGUAUCCUGAUUGAGAGACCAGGGUUCGCAGACGAUUCUGAAAAAAUUACUUGAAACAUUUGUUAGUAUAAUUAGAUUGACAAUAUAUCCUCCAUGAAUGAUGAAGAAAUGGAAGAACGCACCAUUAACCUAAAUGCCAUUUCUCCACGAAUUUCUGGAAGAAUAAUUAGUUUUUAAUUUUUAAAUAAUCAAGAUUCAAAGCU